AUAUAAAUAUAAUGUGUGUAUAGUUAAGUAAAUAUUUAUAUGGUUACAAGUGGCUGAAUAGAAAGCUGUACAAAGGAAGGUGCAACUAUAUAGAUAUAAUAAUACUCAGCCAAACCAAUGAGGAAGUCUAAAAGUAGUAAAGAUAAGAAACAAACCAAACUACUUGUUUAUCAGAAUAAAGGACAGCAAUGAAGAAAAUGAUUUGGUAAAAGGGUUGGACUAGACCUUUUUUUGUUAGCUGUAAUAGAGAAAUAAUGUAUGAAUAACUGUAUGUAUAUUUUUAAACAAUAAAAAUUAUUGAAUGA
This is a long non-coding RNA of Sphaerodactylus townsendi, 305 nucleotides long. RefSeq lists it as uncharacterized. The record is from RefSeq and is a predicted model, not a curated record. The transcript has 2 exons. NCBI's taxonomy places the organism in Eukaryota, Metazoa, Chordata, Lepidosauria, Squamata, Sphaerodactylidae.